AUUCGGUUGAGACCAGUAACCAGAAUAACCGAACAUUUACCACUCGCUCAUUCUUGUUCGUCUGUUUUCCCCCUUCUACCUCUCGCUCGCAUGUUCUUCCUCCAGUUCUUCUGAUUGUAUCCCUUGGGUUGCGGUUGAGCAAAGCGAGACCAUAACACUUCCUCCAACUCGACGACUCGACGGCGACGCAACUCGCCGCGGCCUUCCUCACCUCGUCUCCCUCCCACGGCGGCCACUCCCGCGCACGAUGGCGGCGCGUAAGGAGUGGAGCAUGUCCGACUUCGAGAUCGGCAGGUACAUCGGCGAGGCCGCGAGGGCAAGUUUCGCCCGCGAGAAGAAGAGCGGGUACGUGGUGGCGCUCAAGGUGACGUACAAGGCGAAGCUGGGUACCAGUUCCACUCGCACCUGCGGCGGGAGAUUGAAAUCCAGAAAGGGCUCGAUCACCCCAACGUGCUCCGCCUCUUCGCCUGGUUCCACGACGAAGAGCGCGUCGUCCUCGUCCUCGAAUACGCGGCCCGUGGUGAGCUGUACAAGGUCCUCCGCACCGCUGGCCGCUUCACCGAGCGCACCGCCGCCACCAUAAGGACCCCUUGCCCCUGUUCCUUUUGCUUCACUGUUAAUUUUGCCCCAAACGUUUGUACCUCCGGCUGGAUUGGACCCGUUGCCCUUCCUUCUACUGUUUAUGACUUAAAUUAUGUUAGCCUGAACCCAUAAUAUUAGAGGCAAGGCUCUUGUGGCAGCAAUUGUUUAAUAUUUGUUAGGGAAAUACUGCAGGCUACUCUAACGUUACUUUUAUUAUUUAUUAAAACAAAACCAAGAUGAAAACGGCAGAGGAAAAGGAAGGAGAAAGAAAAGCACCUUAUCCGCUUCCUUCGUCCUAAAUUACCAUUCGUUUUGGUUUUUCUAGAUACAUAGCUUUUGCUACGUAUCUAGACAUAUAUACAUCUAGAUCCAUAACAAAAGUUUUGUAUCUAGAAAACCCAAAACAAAUAGUAAUUUGGGACGGAGGGAGUACUAACAAAGUUUCAGAGAACUAGUCCAUGAGACGAUUAGGUCUUAAGUUGGCAAUUCUAUGACAUUACUUCUACUCGACUCCUGAAAGACAUCAAGAGGAUCUUCAGAAAUGCCACCAACUUGAUUUUACUCUGAUACCAUGUAUAACUCAUUAAUUGCUGAUUCCUUGAUACUGGUUUCCUGUGCAUUGGAAACAAGUAGAAGUUACAGUUCAUAAAAAAGGCGGUUGAAGCAGCAAAUUCUUUGAUAUUAAAAAACUUUGAGUUCCAUUUUAUAAUUUGUCAAAAUGGUUCUUGGGUUUUAUAGACUUUUGUAUUUUCUGAUUGCAACAUUAAGUAUCAGAAACUCUGCAAUACAAGGCAAAGGAUCAAUCCCGUUCUACAAGUUAAGCUGAAACAAAGUUUUCCACAAACAGCGACCACAUGAAGUGCACUCUGCGGUUUACUCCACUCGACCUAUACAUUUACACAUGAAACAAUGUGAGAAUACAUUGCAUUUCCUUUAGCAUGAACACUGCAGCUUUUGAUAAUGCCAUUAAUGGCCAAGAACAUGUGCUGGCAACUGGCAUUGCCAUAACAGUUCCUAGAAUAUGAUAUACAUAUGCAGGCUUCCUUCUGAUUUGCCAUUCUUUUGUUAGAUUCUGACGGCUCAACGCCGCAAGCCUUGCUGGUGCACUGGCGCACUGUCACAGGAAGCAGGUCAUUCAUAGGGAUAUCAAACCAGAGAAUCUGCUACUUGAUAUCGAGGCUGAUGGUCUUCUUUCUGUACCGUGCACACCAUAAGCUCUGAUAGAACCACUGCUGUAAGUUUGCUCAAGAAUCUA
Molecule: RNA transcript, 1837 nt
Organism: Setaria italica (foxtail millet)
Lineage: Eukaryota; Viridiplantae; Streptophyta; Magnoliopsida; Poales; Poaceae
Gene name: serine/threonine-protein kinase Aurora-3
Exons: 3
Source: RefSeq, a predicted model, not a curated record